This 253-nucleotide ribosomal RNA is filed under the name uncultured bacterium. RNAcentral's name for it is "partial 16S ribosomal RNA". It matches the Rfam family "Bacterial small subunit ribosomal RNA", at positions 524 to 776 of the family's 1533-position model. The record is from RNAcentral.
UACGGAGGGGGCUAGCGUUGUUCGGAAUUACUGGGCGUAAAGCGCACGUAGGCGGCUUUGUAAGUUAGAGGUGAAAGCCCGGGGCUCAACUCCGGAAUUGCCUUUAAGACUGCAUCGCUAGAAUUGUGGAGAGGUAAGUGGAAUUCCGAGUGUAGAGGUGAAAUUCGCAGAUAUUCGGAAGAACACCAGUGGCGAAGGCGACUUACUGGACACAUAUUGACGCUGAGGUGCGAAAGCGUGGGGAGCAAACAGG